CUCUGCCCAGAGCAGCACCAUGCUUUUGAUGUCAUUACUGAAUGCCUUGGAUGUCAAGAGUUGUUUGGGACUUCUUCUCAUAUCGUUACUAAUUUUUGAUUUUUGGAAAAGUAAGAAUGCGCCGAACUUUCCACCAGGACCAUGGAGUUUUCCGUUUCUUGGCAACGUUUUCGUCGGUUUCGACUGUCGUGCGAUGGAUGAGGGCACACUGGUCAUCUGUAAUCUUUCAUCUGUGCUAAAGGAUCCAUCACAAUGGGAAAAACCAGAUCAGUUUUAUCCUGAACACUUCCUGAACCAAAGGAAUUUUAGGAAACGGGAAGCAUUUUAUCCAUUUUCGGCAGGGAAAAGGUCAUGUCUUGGUGAGCAGCUGGCACGAAAUACACUCUUCCUCUUCUUCACUUCCCUCCUCCAGAGGUUCUCAUUCUCAGCUCCUGAAGGACUAGGACCUCGCUUUAAGGACCAGGAACAGGUCAAGACGUCCCAAGAACCCUCCCAGAUCUUUGUGUCAUUACGUUGAUAGAAACUAUAGGAAUCACAUCUGAACUGAUACUGAGUUCUAUUAAUAGAUGGAUGUUAUGUUAAUACAUGCAGUAAAAUGCAGUCAACAUGCAGUACAGUGUUUAGAUGAAAUAAUAUAUCUCUGCAUAUAAAUCUCUUUAUCUCUCUCUCUCUCUCUCUCUAUCUGUCUAUAUAUCGGUCUGUCUGUCUGUUUGAUUCUGUUCAACAUGAAAAAAUUUAUUUGAUAGUGAUGAAGUAUUUGCAAGGACAUAUGCGUUAUUAAUAUAAUCAUUAUGUUUUUUUAUGUUUAGACUGCAAAAUGUUAAUACAAUGCAAAUGUGAAAAUUAUGCUAAAUUGUAGCAUGUAAUUUUAAGAUCCACUUUAUUCCCCAGAAACAAAGAAUGAAUAA
This is a long non-coding RNA of Sinocyclocheilus rhinocerous, 908 nucleotides long. RefSeq lists it as uncharacterized. The record is from RefSeq and is a predicted model, not a curated record. NCBI's taxonomy places the organism in Eukaryota, Metazoa, Chordata, Actinopteri, Cypriniformes, Cyprinidae. The transcript has 3 exons.